AGGGCUUCCAAGUGGGCCAGCCCUGUUCAUUUACAAACCCCUUCGAUUUUUCAGGUUUCAAAGCUAAUCGCUGUGGUCAUUGUCCGUGUGGUGUCUGGGUCAAGGUGCUGCUAAAACAAAGCCCUUGAAGAGUCAACCUCGAGAGGGUGGAGAGAGAUAUGCUAUAGGAAGCACCUAGGAAAAGGUUAUUUCUCUGCUGUAGCAAACCGCCGACCCCUCCCACCCUCUACACCCUCCGUUUGAGAGACUUCCCUCUGGCCGGCGCCCAUGGCCAAGAAGAACGUGUUCGAACAUUUAUUGGUUCCUUGUGCUGUUGGACUACUAAAUGCAAAGUCAAUUGUGUCAGUAUAUGUCCUUAUUUAUCUAGUGCAGUUUGGGACAGCGGUCAGUUGUGAGUGAAUGUAUCAAAUGUCCUCUUGUGUUUUUAGUGUAUGCAAUGUGAUGGACUGACUGGUUUAAAUGUGUAUGAAAUGAGACUGUAUGUGAUCCUUUUAAUGGAAGGUGAUGCCGAAG
Molecule: long non-coding RNA, 513 nt
Organism: Oncorhynchus tshawytscha (Chinook salmon)
Lineage: Eukaryota; Metazoa; Chordata; Actinopteri; Salmoniformes; Salmonidae
Source: Ensembl